This 1371-nucleotide ribosomal RNA is filed under the name uncultured bacterium. RNAcentral describes it as "bacterial SSU rRNA". It matches the Rfam family "Bacterial small subunit ribosomal RNA", at positions 28 to 1381 of the family's 1533-position model. The record is from RNAcentral.
GAUGAACGCUGGCGGCGUGCCUAAUACAUGCAAGUCGAGCGAACGGACGAGAAGCUUGCUUCUCUGAUGUUAGCGGCGGACGGGUGAGUAACACGUGGAUAACCUACCCAUAAGACUGGGAUAACUUCGGGAAACCGGGGCUAAUACCGGAUAAUAUUUUGAACCGCAUGGUUCAAAAGUGAAAGACGGUCUUGCUGUCACUUAUGGAUGGAUCCGCGCUGCAUUAGCUAGUUGGUAAGGUAACGGCUUACCAAGGCAACGAUGCAUAGCCGACCUGAGAGGGUGAUCGGCCACACUGGAACUGAGACACGGUCCAGACUCCUACGGGAGGCAGCAGUAGGGAAUCUUCCGCAAUGGGCGAAAGCCUGACGGAGCAACGCCGCGUGAGUGAUGAAGGUCUUCGGAUCGUAAAACUCUGUUAUUAGGGAAGAACAUAUGUGUAAGUAACUGUGCACAUCUUGACGGUACCUAAUCAGAAAGCCACGGCUAACUACGUGCCAGCAGCCGCGGUAAUACGUAGGUGGCAAGCGUUAUCCGGAAUUAUUGGGCGUAAAGCGCGCGUAGGCGGUUUUUUAGUCUGAUGUGAAAGCCCACGGCUCAACCGUGGAGGGUCAUUGGAAACUGGAAAACUUGAGUGCAGAAGAGGAAAGUGGAAUUCCAUGUGUAGCGGUGAAAUGCGCAGAGAUAUGGAGGAACACCAGUGGCGAAGGCGACUUUCUGGUCUGUAACUGACGCUGAUGUGCGAAAGCGUGGGGAUCAAACAGGAUUAGAUACCCUGGUAGUCCACGCCGUAAACGAUGAGUGCUAAGUGUUAGGGGGUUUCCGCCCCUUAGUGCUGCAGCUAACGCAUUAAGCACUCCGCCUGGGGAGUACGACCGCAAGGUUGAAACUCAAAGGAAUUGACGGGGACCCGCACAAGCGGUGGAGCAUGUGGUUUAAUUCGAAGCAACGCGAAGAACCUUACCAAAUCUUGACAUCCUUUGACAACUCUAGAGAUAGAGCCUUCCCCUUCGGGGGACAAAGUGACAGGUGGUGCAUGGUUGUCGUCAGCUCGUGUCGUGAGAUGUUGGGUUAAGUCCCGCAACGAGCGCAACCCUUAAGCUUAGUUGCCAUCAUUAAGUUGGGCACUCUAAGUUGACUGCCGGUGACAAACCGGAGGAAGGUGGGGAUGACGUCAAAUCAUCAUGCCCCUUAUGAUUUGGGCUACACACGUGCUACAAUGGACAAUACAAAGGGCAGCGAAACCGCGAGGUCAAGCAAAUCCCAUAAAGUUGUUCUCAGUUCGGAUUGUAGUCUGCAACUCGACUACAUGAAGCUGGAAUCGCUAGUAAUCGUAGAUCAGCAUGCUACGGUGAAUACGUUCCCGGGUCU